This 915-nucleotide long non-coding RNA is filed under the name Zostera marina. RNAcentral's name for it is "long non-coding RNA (ZMAR_LNC000658)". Lineage: Eukaryota; Viridiplantae; Streptophyta; Magnoliopsida; Alismatales; Zosteraceae. The record is from RNAcentral.
UGAUAUCCAAAUAUUAUAAAUUGAUAAUCAUAUAUGGAAUCUAGCUGAGAGUGAAUGGGCCCAGUCAAUAUUAGAUUUCGUCAUGAUGAUCCAAAAUCCGAUGGGUCAACCAUUUUUCGAGUUGGAUCCGGAUCGUCAUAAACUAAAUUAAAUUUUUCGAGUAAAUUAAAUUUGACUGACCCAUUUGCAAUCUUAUUAUCUUACCCAUACGGCCAUACCAAACCGUAAAAAUGUAAAAUUAAUAAAUUGAUGCCGAAAAUAUAUAAAAAUUCCACGCAUGCAUGUUGAGUGACUGAUGACCUAAUUCAACCACGAUCCACGUAGGACUGAGUGUAUGUCACAAACAUUUUGAUAAGUCAACAGUCAACACUAUAUACUUGCACGUAUAGAUCUAAUUAGCUAGGGUUGUGUUGCAGGCUAUUGCUCAAGAAUCAAUCUGAUGAAUGGUGUUAUUGUGAAUCGAUCAAGUCGAUGGAACGCUGGAAGAGCAAAGGCACAUCUGAGUUAUAACAAAAUUAAGCCAUACAAUGAGGUCGAUGUGAGAUUGUUGAUUAGCGACUUCUUAAUAACAAUCUCAUGGUUAUGGACGGCGGCUCUCAUUAAAGUCUUGACUUACCAGGUUUUCAAUGGCGGAGAGGUCCUCAGAUGGAUAAUUUAUAUCCUCUCUAGGUUCUUGUUUGCUUGGUUGAACAAUAUCACGGACGGAGGAGACCAUCAUCCACUCAUCGUCAUCGCCUGUGCUACUCCCGACAGUCUAUCCGAAUUUCAUUUCGGCGUUGUCUUGAGAAUCCUCGUUCAGGUAUAUAUGUGUCAAUAAAUCAAUAUAUAGUUAAUCAAUAUAUAGCAGAAUAUUCCCUUUUGAAAUAAAAUUACAUGAAUAUUGGAUGGAUCAGGUGGUUGGAUCCACAGUUGGCG